This is a non-coding RNA of Stegodyphus mimosarum, 73 nucleotides long. The record is from Rfam. NCBI's taxonomy places the organism in Eukaryota, Metazoa, Arthropoda, Arachnida, Araneae, Eresidae.
GCCUUCGUGGUGUAGUAGUCAGCACGCUCGACGCAUAACCGAGAGGUCAGUGGUUCGAAUCCCAGCGAGGGCA